RNAcentral lists this ribosomal RNA (426 nucleotides) under uncultured prokaryote. RNAcentral describes it as "bacterial SSU rRNA". It matches the Rfam family "Bacterial small subunit ribosomal RNA", at positions 355 to 774 of the family's 1533-position model. The record is from RNAcentral.
UCGAGAAUUUUUCUCAAUGGGCGAAAGCUUGAAGGAGCGACGCCGCGUGGGGGAUGAAGGGCUUCGGCUCGUAAACCCCUGUCAUUUGCGAACAAACCCACUCAUCUAACACAUGGGUGGCUGAUAGUAGCGAAAGAGGAAGGGACGGCUAACUCUGUGCCAGCAGCCGCGGUAAUACAGAGGUCCCAAGCGUUGUUCGGAUUCACUGGGCGUAAAGGGUGCGUAGGUGGUGGUGGAAGUUCGAUGUGAAAUCUCCGGGCUUAACCCGGAAACGGCAUUGAAAACUCCACUGCUAGAGGAUCGGAGGGGAGACUGGAAUUCUCGGUGUAGCAGUGAAAUGCGUAGAUAUCGAGAGGAACACCAGUGGCGAAAGCGAGUCUCUGGACGAAACCUGACACUGAGGCACGAAAGCUAGGGGAUCAAACA